UGGGGAAUCUUGGACAAUGGGCGCAAGCCUGAUCCAGCCAUGCCGCGUGAGUGAAGAAGGCCUUCGGGUUGUAAAGCUCUUUUACCAGGGACGAUAAUGACGGUACCUGGAGAAUAAGCCCCGGCAAACUUCGUGCCAGCAGCCGCGGUAAUACGAAGGGGGCUAGCGUUGUUCGGAAUUACUGGGCGUAAAGCGCACGUAGGCGGAUUGUUAAGUCAGAGGUGAAAUCCCGGAGCUCAACUUCGGAACUGCCUUUGAUACUGGCAAUCUAGAGUCCGGAAGAGGUUAGUGGAAUUCCCAGUGUAGAGGUGAAAUUCGUAGAUAUUGGGAAGAACACCAGUGGCGAAGGCGGCUAACUGGUCCGGUACUGACGCUGAGGCGCGAAAGCUAGGGGAGCAAACGGGAUUAGAUACCCCCGUAGUCCCUGAGCGGGCUGGCAAGGCGCAU
This 447-nucleotide ribosomal RNA is filed under the name uncultured bacterium. Its description in RNAcentral is "bacterial SSU rRNA". It matches the Rfam family "Bacterial small subunit ribosomal RNA", at positions 355 to 825 of the family's 1533-position model. The record is from RNAcentral.